RNAcentral lists this ribosomal RNA (1053 nucleotides) under Escherichia coli. Its description in RNAcentral is "partial 23S ribosomal RNA". It matches the Rfam family "Bacterial large subunit ribosomal RNA", at positions 144 to 1238 of the family's 2925-position model. Lineage: Bacteria; Pseudomonadati; Pseudomonadota; Gammaproteobacteria; Enterobacterales; Enterobacteriaceae. RNAcentral also lists the same sequence under 1 other name. The record is from RNAcentral.
CACACUAUCAUUAACUGAAUCCAUAGGUUAAUGAGGCGAACCGGGGGAACUGAAACAUCUAAGUACCCCGAGGAAAAGAAAUCAACCGAGAUUCCCCCAGUAGCGGCGAGCGAACGGGGAGGAGCCCAGAGCCUGAAUCAGUGUGUGUGUUAGUGGAAGCGUCUGGAAAGGCGCGCGAUACAGGGUGACAGCCCCGUACACAAAAAUGCACAUAUUGUGAGCUCGAUGAGUAGGGCGGGACACGUGGUAUCCUGUCUGAAUAUGGGGGGACCAUCCUCCAAGGCUAAAUACUCCUGACUGACCGAUAGUGAACCAGUACCGUGAGGGAAAGGCGAAAAGAACCCCGGCGAGGGGAGUGAAAAAGAACCUGAAACCGUGUACGUACAAGCAGUGGGAGCCUCUUAAUGGGGUGACUGCGUACCUUUUGUAUAAUGGGUCAGCGACUUAUAUUCUGUAGCAAGGUUAACCGAAUAGGGGAGCCGAAGGGAAACCGAGUCUUAACUGGGCGUUAAGUUGCAGGGUAUAGACCCGAAACCCGGUGAUCUAGCCAUGGGCAGGUUGAAGGUUGGGUAACACUAACUGGAGGACCGAACCGACUAAUGUUGAAAAAUUAGCGGAUGACUUGUGGCUGGGGGUGAAAGGCCAAUCAAACCGGGAGAUAGCUGGUUCUCCCCGAAAGCUAUUUAGGUAGCGCCUCGUGAAUUCAUCUCCGGGGGUAGAGCACUGUUUCGGCAAGGGGGUCAUCCCGACUUACCAACCCGAUGCAAACUGCGAAUACCGGAGAAUGUUAUCACGGGAGACACACGGCGGGUGCUAACGUCCGUCGUGAAGAGGGAAACAACCCAGACCGCCAGCUAAGGUCCCAAAGUCAUGGUUAAGUGGGAAACGAUGUGGGAAGGCCCAGACAGCCAGGAUGUUGGCUUAGAAGCAGCCAUCAUUUAAAGAAAGCGUAAUAGCUCACUGGUCGAGUCGGCCUGCGCGGAAGAUGUAACGGGGCUAAACCAUGCACCGAAGCUGCGGCAGCGACACUAUGUGUUGUUGGGUAGGGGAGCG